This is a non-coding RNA of Pseudonaja textilis, 205 nucleotides long. Lineage: Eukaryota; Metazoa; Chordata; Lepidosauria; Squamata; Elapidae. The record is from RefSeq and is a predicted model, not a curated record.
UAAAGUGACUGAAAAUGCUUACUGCACAAGCUAUGUCUGGUCUGGACCACUGUGACAGACAUAAUAGGCUCCCUAUUGCUGACUGAUAUAUCUCUUGAUCACAGGCUUCACUUUCGUCCUCACCCAAACUGUUAUGAAAAUCUGUACUCAUAGGUGUUGGAGCAGUAUUACAAUUUUUCAUGUUAUAUCUCUCCAACAACUGUUC